Molecule: non-coding RNA, 73 nt
Organism: Potamilus streckersoni
Lineage: Eukaryota; Metazoa; Mollusca; Bivalvia; Unionida; Unionidae
Source: the annotation of a GenBank genome assembly
GAUCUGGUGGUCUAGUGGUUAUAGUGUCCGCCUCGAAUGCAGGAGGUCGCGGGUUCUAUCCUCGGCCGAGUCA